This 254-nucleotide ribosomal RNA is filed under the name uncultured bacterium. Its description in RNAcentral is "partial 16S ribosomal RNA". It matches the Rfam family "Bacterial small subunit ribosomal RNA", at positions 524 to 776 of the family's 1533-position model. The record is from RNAcentral.
UACGUAGGGAGCAAGCGUUGUCCGGAUUUAUUGGGCGUAAAGGGCUAGUAGGCGGUUCGGCAAGUCGGGUGUGAAACCUCCAGGCUCAACCUGGAGACGCCACCCGAUACUGCUGUGACUCGAGUCUGGUAGGGGAGCACGGAAUUCCUGGUGUAGCGGUGAAAUGCACAGAUAUCAGGAGGAACACCGAUGGCGAAGGCGGUGCUCUGGGCCAGUACUGACGCUGAAUAGCGAAAGCGUGGGUAGCGAACAGG